Molecule: long non-coding RNA, 980 nt
Organism: Dendroctonus ponderosae (mountain pine beetle)
Lineage: Eukaryota; Metazoa; Arthropoda; Insecta; Coleoptera; Curculionidae
Exons: 2
Source: RefSeq, a predicted model, not a curated record
AAAAAAAACCACCCUGUAUAUGGACGUCCAAUAGACCGCCAAGGGUGGUCAAUUUUUAACUAAAAUGGUCACUAAAAUAAGCUUUAUUUCAGACGUCCUUAUGUUCAUUAAAUGACGUCGCGUCUUAUUUGGAGAAUUUUUUUAUCUAACUUUAAAUGUCUCUUUAUAAUAAUUUUAAAUUUUUAGUAAUUUAUUUUUUAAUUGCCUGUCUGUCACAAUUGCAUUAGGAUGAAUGCUCCCAACACUCUAUAGUCAGGACACAAAAUUCAUUUAUUUCUUGUUUCCAAAAGCAAAAGCGAAAGGAAUAAACCAGGAAGACCAACAUGCUUUAUUUGAUAAUAUAAAAUACAAUCUUUAAAGAUUAGAUAAAUUACAAUCAAUCUCUAUGAUUAGAAAAAUUAAGAAUAAAUCUCGUCUGUCCCUCUGUCUAAGGUAAAAUUAAUGGUGUGAUUGUCUAUUAUGUCAUUCUAUAUGUACUUCUUGUCAAUUUGUUCGCGCCAAGUUUAUUGGAUUUUAGUUAGGUUAAAAACGCGGAACCCCGGCACUUUGGCGUGACUGGUAUUCCGAACUUGUACUUUGUACUUGUCUUGUUUCAUGUGAUUUGUUAAUGGGCUGUUAGUUCAUUAUUAUACGAAACUUUUAACACAAAGGUGGUACAGUUAGACGAACUAGCGGGCAGUACUCUGGAACUCUGGCAGAACUGGCGCACACCACUCAAGCACUCAAGCAAGAGGUACUGUGGCCUCCGAUUAAGGAGAGGAAAGCGUGUAGAAAGGCUCUUACUCACGGAGUCCAAGCUGACAGCAAUUGGAGGCCUUUUGGGCACCCACUAUUCUUACGGGUUCGUAGGAAUAGUAGUUUUUUUAUCUGUCCUCCGCUUUUUUAUAAUUAAUUUUGUGGCUGGUCAGAACUACUUUUAAUUAAUUAAAAUUGUAACCAUAUUUGCUUCCUUCCUGUCAAUAAAAUACGAUUUAAGAUUC